CCUACGGGGGGCAGCAGUGGGGAAUAUUGCGCAAUGGGCGAAAGCCUGACGCAGCGACGCCGCGUGAGGGAUGAAGGUCUUCGGAUCGUAAACCUCUGUCAGCAGGGAAGAACGGUCACUGUGCUAAUCAGCAGUGAAUUGACGGUACCUGCAAAGGACGCACCGGCUAACUCCGUGCCAGCAGCCGCGGUAAUACGGAGGGUGCGAGCGUUAAUCGGAAUUACUGGGCGUAAAGCGGUCGUAGGCGGUAUGUCAAGGCAAGGGGGAAAUCCCCGCGCUCAACGUGGGAACUGCCUUUGAAACUGGCAAACUGGAGUGUGUGAGAGGAUAGUGGAAUUCCAGGUGUAGGAGUGAAAUCCGUAGAUAUCUGGAGGAACAUCAGUGGCGAAGGCGACUAUCUGGCACAUAACUGACGCUGAGGAGCGAAAGCGUGGGUAGCAAACAGGAUUAGAUACCCGAGUAGUC
This 465-nucleotide ribosomal RNA is filed under the name uncultured bacterium. Its description in RNAcentral is "partial 16S ribosomal RNA". It matches the Rfam family "Bacterial small subunit ribosomal RNA", at positions 338 to 795 of the family's 1533-position model. The record is from RNAcentral.